Small nucleolar RNA from Ochotona princeps (American pika), 72 nucleotides. RefSeq annotates it as small nucleolar RNA SNORD42. The record is from RefSeq and is a predicted model, not a curated record. The transcript has a single exon. Lineage: Eukaryota; Metazoa; Chordata; Mammalia; Lagomorpha; Ochotonidae.
GUGCACAUGAUGGAAAGCUGUUUUUGAGUUUCCUGAGACUUAAUGAUGUCUUCAAAGGAACCGCUGAUGCAC